UGAUCUCUCGAAAAAUAGUCUUUCUGGACUGAUUCCUAGAAGUCUGUCUUCUUUGAUUUUCUUGGCACACUUGAACUUGUCUUUUAACAACUUGGUAGGAAAAAUCCCAUCUGGUAAUCAGCUCCAAACGCUAAAUGAUGCAUCCAUAUACAAGGGCAACUCUUCAUUGUGUGGGUCUCCCCUUCCAACCAAGUGUCCAGGAGAUGAAACAUUUGAUGGCCCAACUAUUACCAGCGGCAGUAUUGAUGACAAACAAGAUGGAGAUGAUUAUGAAAGGUUAUGGUUCUAUGUUAGCAUCGGACUUGGGUUUGUUGUGGGAUUUUGGAGUGUUUGUUGCACCUUACUAGUGAAGAAGUCAUGGAGGCAUUGGUAUUUUCAAUUCUGUGAUGACAUCAAAGAUAGGAUAUCACUUAUAAUUGCAUUGAAAGUAGUUCAUUUGAAAAGAAAAUUUGGGUUGGAAAAAAUUGAAGUCUGUAGAUGGAAAGACUUUUUCAGUUCCUAAUUGAGAAGUCACACAAUCGCAAUUGGAUGACCUCCCUUAAGGUAUCAUGAAUAUGGAUAUCCACUAGAAGAGCAAGGAUGACCCAACAAUGGAUUGCCACAUCUCUUCUAGUCUGUCUCUUGAUGUUGUGAUGUUGUCAUUUCUGAACAUAUGAAUAACUGUUGUUAUUAUUAUGAAAUUUGGACUUGUAAUAACAGUCUUAUUAUUAUGAUUAUGGAGCUUGGCCCUUGGACUUGUAA
Long non-coding RNA from Quercus lobata, 741 nucleotides. RefSeq lists it as uncharacterized. The record is from RefSeq and is a predicted model, not a curated record. Lineage: Eukaryota; Viridiplantae; Streptophyta; Magnoliopsida; Fagales; Fagaceae. The transcript is spliced from 2 exons.